UGAUCCCGCCUUGAUGAUGAUGGACUGAACCUCUGAACUUCCCCAACAUGAGCCCUGGGAAUAUAAGAUGAAUGUCAUGUCGUCCCUUCCUGAAGAGGCUGAAGGGAGCAAGGUGAACCCAAUGUGCACAGAACAAAUGCACUUUGCCCAGGUCUUCAGGCUGUCACUGCACUCUGGCGUGCACUUUCUGUUUUGAUGAGUCACUGCAGGUUUCCUUUUCCCCCUAUAUUUCUUUGAGGAGGCAGGUGCAAUUUAAUAUUUGUCCAUUUAAAAUGUUUCAUUGUUUAUAACAAAUAAAAAUCACACACAUUUACAAUGUCUCACCAAAUGUAUCGUUUUUUGUAAUAAGAACCCUUUAACAAUGUAGCCAUCUUGAAGGAGGCAAACUGCUGAGUGGGUAGAAGGCUCCGCUGUUAGGAACACGGGCUGCUCUUCCAGAGGGCAUCUCAGGAGCAUCUGGGAUUUCAGCCUAAGAGAUCUGACACCCUCUCCUGGCUCCCUCAGGCACCAGGCAUUCAUGCGGUGUACGGACGUACAGCAUAACUACAGACAUUUCUGCAGUGGAACGAAAGCAAACUCAGCCUCUUAGCUGCCUUUCUCUAGUAUCUCAUUGCAGCAACAUGAAGCAAACACUGAUGGACUUCAGCUCUCCAUUUCUGAGAUGAUGCCCGUGGAUGCUUACUGUAGCCUCCUGACCUUUGUGUUUCUGUGUGGAGCAGCAAGUUACUACCAUAUACAUCUACACAAUGGAAUAUUACUC
RNAcentral lists this small RNA (760 nucleotides) under Rattus norvegicus (Norway rat). RNAcentral describes it as "uncharacterized LOC102554419". Lineage: Eukaryota; Metazoa; Chordata; Mammalia; Rodentia; Muridae. The record is from RNAcentral.